AGAGUUUGAUCCUGGCUCAGGACGAACGCUGGCGGCACGCUUAACACAUGCAAGUCGAACGAGAGAAGAGGAGCUUGCUUUUCUGAUCUAGUGGCGGACGGGUGAGUAACACGUGAGCAAUCUGCCCUUCAGAGGGGGAUACCGAUUGGAAACGAUCGUUAAUACCGCAUAACAUAAUUGAACCGCAUGAUUUGAUUAUCAAAGAUUUAUCGCUGAAAGAUGAGCUCGCGUCUGAUUAGCUAGUUGGUAAGGUAACGGCUUACCAAGGCGACGAUCAGUAGCCGGACUGAGAGGUUGAUCGGCCACAUUGGGACUGAGACACGGCCCAGACUCCUACGGGAGGCAGCAGUGGGGAAUAUUGCACAAUGGAGGAAACUCUGAUGCAGCGAUGCCGCGUGAGGGAAGAAGGUUUUAGGAUUGUAAACCUCUGUCUUCAGGGACGAAAAAAGACGGUACCUGAGGAGGAAGCUCCGGCUAACUACGUGCCAGCAGCCGCGGUAAUACGUAGGGAGCGAGCGUUGUCCGGAAUUACUGGGUGUAAAGGGAGCGUAGGCGGGAUCGCAAGUCAGAUGUGAAAACUAUGGGCUUAACCCAUAAACUGCAUUUGAAACUGUGGUUCUUGAGUGAAGUAGAGGUAAGCGGAAUUCCUAGUGUAGCGGUGAAAUGCGUAGAUAUUAGGAGGAACAUCAGUGGCGAAGGCGGCUUACUGGGCUUUAACUGACGCUGAGGCUCGAAAGCGUGGGGAGCAAACAGGAUUAGAUACCCUGGUAGUCCACGCCGUAAACGAUGAUUACUAGGUGUGGGGGGACUGACCCCUUCCGUGCCGCAGCAAACGCAAUAAGUAAUCCACCUGGGGAGUACGACCGCAAGGUUGAAACUCAAAGGAAUUGACGGGGGCCCGCACAAGCAGUGGAGUAUGUGGAUUAAUUCGAAGCAACGCGAAGAACCUUACCAGGUCUUGACAUCGUAUGCAUAGCUCAGAGAUGAGUGAAAUCUCUUCGGAGACAUAUAGACAGGUGGUGCAUGGUUGUCGUCAGCUCGUGUCGUGAGAUGUGGGGUUAAGUCCCGCAACGAGCGCAACCCUUACUGUUAGUUGCUACGCAAGAGCACUCUAGCAGGACUGCCGUUGACAAAACGGAGGAAGGUGGGGAUGACGUCAAAUCAUCAUGCCCCUUAUGACCUGGGCCUCACACGUACUACAAUGGCUGUCAACAGAGGGAAGCAAAGCCGCGAGGUGGAGCGAACCCCUAAAAGCAGUCUUAGUUCGGAUUGUAGGCUGCAACCCGCCUACAUGAAGUCGGAAUUGCUAGUAAUCGCAGAUCAGCAUGCUGCGGUGAAUACGUUCCCGGGCCUUGUACACACCGCCCGUCACGCCAUGGGAGUCGGUAACACCCGAAGCCUGUAGUCUAACCGCAAGGAGGACGCAGUCGAAGGUGGGAUUGAUGACUGGGGUGAAGUCGUAACAAGGUA
Molecule: ribosomal RNA, 1470 nt
Filed under: metagenome
Description: bacterial SSU rRNA
Rfam family: Bacterial small subunit ribosomal RNA
Source: RNAcentral